GAUGAACGCUAGCGGCAGGCUUAACACAUGCAAGUCGAGGGGUAUAGUUCUUCGGAAUUAGAGACCGGCGCACGGGUGCGUAAACCGGCCGGUUAAUGCAAUCUAACCCUUUUCACAAAGGGGAUAGCCCAGAGAAAUUUGGAUUAAUACCUUAUAGUAAUACGACUUGGCAUCAAGAUGUAUUUAAAGAUUUAUCGGUGAAAGAUGAGCAUGCGUCCCAUUAGCUUGUUGGUAAGGUAACGGCUUACCAAGGC
This 254-nucleotide ribosomal RNA is filed under the name uncultured bacterium. Its description in RNAcentral is "partial 16S ribosomal RNA". It matches the Rfam family "Bacterial small subunit ribosomal RNA", at positions 28 to 274 of the family's 1533-position model. The record is from RNAcentral.